This 247-nucleotide long non-coding RNA is filed under the name Phoenix dactylifera (date palm). RNAcentral describes it as "long non-coding RNA (PDAC_LNC016629)". Lineage: Eukaryota; Viridiplantae; Streptophyta; Magnoliopsida; Arecales; Arecaceae. The record is from RNAcentral.
AGCCCAUUGUCAUUUAAAUUUAAUUCUUGCUAAGCUGCUUCAGAUCGAACUCGACCAGACAAGACUAAAAACCGGACCGUGACCUAAUAAAAAGGGUUAAUCAAACCUUUGCCCCAUACAUAAUUAAUUAUAGCUUUCGAUCAAAUUAGGACCAAAACCCAUUUAAUUAUAACCUUAGCUUGAUUACAACUCUAUCAGGUUACCAAAUCGGGUCAACACAAUCUCCUCCUUAUAUGUUUUUAUGAAA